This is a long non-coding RNA of Hyaena hyaena (striped hyena), 504 nucleotides long. RefSeq lists it as uncharacterized. NCBI's taxonomy places the organism in Eukaryota, Metazoa, Chordata, Mammalia, Carnivora, Hyaenidae. The transcript is spliced from 3 exons. The record is from RefSeq and is a predicted model, not a curated record.
GUGGAUUUGCAGCAGAAACACCCUGCUAAAGAACAAGUAUCUUGGUUCCCAGGAAAGAGGACAAAGGAAAACAGCAAGUUAUAGGGAGUUGAAUGCUGGAUUAGAGUGAAGGAGUGAACCGGUGAAGACCUGAAGGAAUGGAGGCUGCAGGAAAACAAAAUAUCGAUCUUAAGAUGGAAUAGAAAAAUUAGGAGUGAACAAAGAUAGCAGUGAAGAUGGGAGACCGUAGAGAUGGACUUCAGGACCCUCCUGACUGCACUCCAGGAGACAACGUCACUCCCAGUGGGGAGACUGCAGUCCAGGUCUCAAGGCUCUCUAUAAGCAUGAUACGUCCUGCAUCUCCAGGCUCCAGAGAUUUCAUCUCACCCUCCAGGGCUACCCAGCUUGUCUCCAGUCCUCUUAUACAGGGGAGCCGUGGGAUCUCUCCUCCAUGUCAAAGACCAAGAAAAAGAGUCAUUUUAGGGACACCUGGGUGGCUCAGUUGGUUAAUCUUCUUACUCUUGA